This 419-nucleotide unclassified non-coding RNA is filed under the name uncultured Inocybe. RNAcentral describes it as "sequence contains ITS2". The stretch from base 1 to 154 matches the Rfam family "5.8S ribosomal RNA". Lineage: Eukaryota; Fungi; Basidiomycota; Agaricomycetes; Agaricales; Cortinariaceae. The record is from RNAcentral.
AACUUUUGACAAGGGAUCACUUGGCUCUCGCAUCGAUGAAGAACGCAGCGAAAUGCGAUAAGUAAUGUGAAUUGCAGAAUUCAGUGAAUCAUCGAAUCUUUGAACGCAUCUUGCGCUCCUUGGUAUUCCGAGGAGCAUGCCUGUUUGAGUGGCAUUUAACUUCUCAACCACACAUCUCAUGAUGGCUCGUGGCUUGGAUGUGGGGGUUGUUUGCAGGCUUUCUGUGAAUGAAGGUCGGCUCCCCUGAAAUGUAUUAGUGGUAUCUGAGGCUACUACUAUAGGUGUGAUAAUUAUCUAUGCCUUUGGUAUGCCGCAUGAACAGAUUACACUGCUUCUAACAAAACAACGAUGUUGAUAAAUUUGACCUCAAAUCAGGUAGGACUACCCGCUGAACUUAAGCAUAUCAAUAGGCGGAGGCU